Molecule: ribosomal RNA, 254 nt
Filed under: uncultured bacterium
Lineage: Bacteria
Description: partial 16S ribosomal RNA
Rfam family: Bacterial small subunit ribosomal RNA
Source: RNAcentral
UACGUAGGGGGCGAGCGUUGUCCGGAUUUAUUGGGCGUAAAGAGCUCGUAGGCGGCUUGGCAAGUCGGGUGUGAAACCUCCAGGCUCAACCUGGAGACGCCACUCGAUACUGCCAUGGCUAGAGUCCGGUAGGGGACCACGGAAUUCCUGGUGUAGCGGUGAAAUGCGCAGAUAUCUGGAGGAACACCGGUGGCGAAGGCGGCAUCCUGGACCGAGAUUGACGCUGAGGCGCGAAAGCCAGGGGAGCAAACGGG